This 397-nucleotide RNase P RNA is filed under the name Flectobacillus longus. Its description in RNAcentral is "RNase P RNA component class A". It matches the Rfam family "Bacterial RNase P class A". Rfam says of the family: Ribonuclease P (RNase P) is a ubiquitous endoribonuclease, found in archaea, bacteria and eukarya as well as chloroplasts and mitochondria. Its best characterised activity is the generation of mature 5'-ends of tRNAs by cleaving the 5'-leader elements of precursor-tRNAs. Lineage: Bacteria; Pseudomonadati; Bacteroidota; Cytophagia; Cytophagales; Flectobacillaceae. The record is from RNAcentral.
GAAGUAAGUCGUCUUAUCGCCUCUGCUUUAUGUAGGGGAGGAAAGUCUGGACAACAAAGAGCAUCAUGCUUCCUAACGGGAAGGCACGGAUUUGGCGACGAAAACGUGACAGCUAGUGCCACAGAAAAUUACCGCCUGCAAGGGUAAGGGUGAAAAGGUAGAGUAAGAGCCUACCGCUCGUUUGGUGACAAGCGAGGCAGAGGUAAACCUCAUGAGUUGAAAGACCAAAUAGGCUGGCGAGAAAAACCUUCGGGUUUGGAAAAAGGGCUGCUCGCCCGAUGUCAGUGGGUAGGUUGAUAGAGCGUAUCGGUGACGAUUCGUCGAGAUAAAUGAUAAGACAGCGCAAAAUUGGACAUUUUGCGACUGACAGAAUCCGGCUUAUAGAUUUACUUUAGGU